ACUUAUUUGAGCCGUCCAUCGCGCUUCAUCUGACGACCUGUAGUUCAUCCGCUUCAUUAAGGGUAAUUUCGUAAUUUCCGUCAGUGAAUGACCUUCGUUCCAAUUUUCUGUUUCCUUUUUUCUUUUUAUCUCUCUUCUUGCGAUUUAUCUCUCCUGCGAUUUUUUUUCUCUACUCCACUCUUAUCAAAUUCUUGAUUUUGUUGUUCGAUUUUCAUUGCUAGUUAUUUUUGGGCAACAGCAAUGCAUUCAAAGAGGGAGUGCAGAAUUGUCUUGGGCGAGGCUUCACGUACCUGGCAGCUUAUUUCACUCACCACGUCAAUAAUGUGGCCUUUCUUUUACCGUUAAGAAGCCUUUGCACGUUUUUCAUACAAAGUGUCUUAGCUUCGGAGGGCACCCAUAGCCCAAAUCCUUCGCCAGAGAUCACAAAUAAGUGAAUAACCCCUGCAUUUUGCACCACUGCUUGAUCAAAGUUUGUGGCAUUGUAUUCUAGCUAUGAUGCCACACUCAAAAAUUAUAUUUUGAGCUGAAGUAAUUAGGGUGGAUUUUAAGUGGCUAAUAUUUUGAGCUAUAAAACUUAUGUAUAAAACCUUUAAGCAGCUUAGUACAUAUACUUUAUAGAUUAUUUUAUUUACUUUUAA
Molecule: long non-coding RNA, 638 nt
Organism: Chenopodium quinoa (quinoa)
Lineage: Eukaryota; Viridiplantae; Streptophyta; Magnoliopsida; Caryophyllales; Amaranthaceae
Exons: 2
Source: RefSeq, a predicted model, not a curated record